Molecule: ribosomal RNA, 252 nt
Filed under: uncultured bacterium
Lineage: Bacteria
Description: partial 16S ribosomal RNA
Rfam family: Bacterial small subunit ribosomal RNA
Source: RNAcentral
GACGAACCGUGCGAACGUUGUUCGGAAUCACUGGCUUAGAGGGCGCGUAGGCGGGCAAGCAAGUCUGGGGUGAAAUCUUUCGGCCCAAACGGAAAAGGGCCUCGGAAACUGCUUGUCUGGAGGAAGGUAAGGGUGUGUGGAACUUCCGGUGGAGCGGUGAAAUGCGUAGAGAUCGGAAGGAACGCCGGUGGCGAAAGCGACGCACUGGACCUUUUCUGACGCUGUGUCGCGAAAGCCAGGUGAGCAAACGGG